Molecule: ribosomal RNA, 253 nt
Filed under: uncultured bacterium
Lineage: Bacteria
Description: partial 16S ribosomal RNA
Rfam family: Bacterial small subunit ribosomal RNA
Source: RNAcentral
UACAGAGGGGGCAAGCGUUGUUCGGAAUUACUGGGCGUAAAGCGUGCGCAGGCGGCUUGCUAAGACAGGUGUGAAAGCCCCGAGCUUAACUUGGGAAUGGCGCUUGUGACUGGCAGGCUGGAGUGUGGCAGAGGGAGGUGGAAUUCCACGUGUAGCAGUGAAAUGCGUAGAGAUGUGGAGGAACACCGAUGGCGAAGGCAGCCUCCUGGGCCAACACUGACGCUCAUGCACGAAAGCGUGGGGAGCAAACAGG